UUCAUUUUUGUCUGUCCUGCUUAGAAUCCUAUAAUUACAGAAACAUGUCUGUCAGCGAUUUGUGCAUCUGAUAAUCAGAUUUUCUCUCGUUCCCAGCUCUUCCUCCAUCCUCACCCCACCCCAGCCCAUUCUGCCACAUCUGGAGCAGUCCCCUGCCACUCCAUGCCCAACUGACUCCUCAACUGUUUCCAGAUCACAUCUGUCUUUCCCGGUACCGGCUUCCUGACACGCUGGAUCAUAAAUGAGUCAGACCCUAAAUUCUGGUCAUCUUGAAUUCCUCUCUCGAUAGACGAUAACUGUGGAACAGAGCUAUUGCCUCAUUUCUUCUGGUCUGGUUUGGCCAUGCUAAACUAUACAGCUUUCAAAAGAUUCUUCGCAUGGCAUUUAAGCUUCUCCACAACCUGGACGUGAUAUGUGUUUGAUCCUCAAAUAC
Molecule: long non-coding RNA, 433 nt
Filed under: Homo sapiens (human)
Lineage: Eukaryota; Metazoa; Chordata; Mammalia; Primates; Hominidae
Description: HSALNT0235067
Source: RNAcentral